CAGAUAUUGAAAAUACAAGUGAAAGUGAAAAAACAGACAACAUUGUCAGCAUAUCUUGAAUGUGGUGGUUUGGUGGUGCUUGUAAUCAUUGCAAUCCUUGGAAUGUGUUGGUUUCGUAAAAGGCGAAGGUCAAACAUGGAACAUGAUGAUUUACAUACCAACAAUUCAUUUCAUGAUGCCAACACUUAUGACACAGUGGAUUCUAAUCUUCGUGAGGUUGAACUCAACGAUCUGAAGUAUGAGACUCUUCAAGUUACAGAUGUACAUAAGAUGCAAAAAACAACUGACUUGUCUACCAUCUCUAAACAAGGAAAU
Mya arenaria is the source of this 315-nucleotide long non-coding RNA. RefSeq lists it as uncharacterized. The record is from RefSeq and is a predicted model, not a curated record. The transcript is spliced from 3 exons. NCBI's taxonomy places the organism in Eukaryota, Metazoa, Mollusca, Bivalvia, Myida, Myidae.